This is a non-coding RNA of Chlamydomonas reinhardtii, 110 nucleotides long. The record is from Rfam. NCBI's taxonomy places the organism in Eukaryota, Viridiplantae, Chlorophyta, Chlorophyceae, Chlamydomonadales, Chlamydomonadaceae.
CCGGCCACGGCAGUCCGGGGCUCAUAACCUGUUAACGCGCGCAGCCCGCAGGCAGUCCCUGCGGGCCGCGCGGUGCUAACGGGUUGUGGGACCCGGACUGACGCGGCUGG